CUGCUCAAUGAUUAAUUUUAAAUAGCUGCAGAAUUUUAACUGUACAAAGGUAGCAUAAUAAAUAGUUUUUUAAUUGAAAACUAGAAUGAAAGAUUUAAUGAAAAAUAAACUUUAUUAGUUAAAUAAAUUAAAAUUUUUUUUAAAUAAAAAUAUUUAAAUAAACUAAAUAAACAAAAAGACCCUAAAAACUUUAUAAAUUCUUAAAAUAAUUUAUUUAAUUGGGGAAAUUAUAAAAUUUAAUUAAUUUUUAUUUUUAACUACAAAAAUACUUGAAUAAAACAUUUUUUAAAAAAAAUUAAUUUAAGUUACUUUAGGGAUAACAGUAUAAUUUUUUAUUUUAGAUCAUAUAAAUUAAAAAGUUUAUAACCUCGAUGUUGAAUUAAGAUACAAAUAAAAUGAAACCAUUUUAAUUUUAAGUCUGUUCGACU
RNAcentral lists this ribosomal RNA (428 nucleotides) under Chelonus sp. RNAcentral's name for it is "partial 16S ribosomal RNA". Lineage: Eukaryota; Metazoa; Arthropoda; Insecta; Hymenoptera; Braconidae. The record is from RNAcentral.